Molecule: ribosomal RNA, 58 nt
Filed under: Burkholderia ubonensis
Lineage: Bacteria; Pseudomonadati; Pseudomonadota; Betaproteobacteria; Burkholderiales; Burkholderiaceae
Also listed under: 1 other name
Description: partial 23S ribosomal RNA
Source: RNAcentral
CGCAGUAAUGCGUUCAGCUAACUGAUACUAAUUGCCCGUAAGGCUUGAUCCUAUAACA